RNAcentral lists this ribosomal RNA (523 nucleotides) under uncultured bacterium. RNAcentral describes it as "bacterial SSU rRNA". It matches the Rfam family "Bacterial small subunit ribosomal RNA", at positions 986 to 1509 of the family's 1533-position model. The record is from RNAcentral.
AUCCAGCGAAUUCGGUAGAGAUACCUUAGUGCCUUCGGGAACGCUGAGACAGGUGCUGCAUGGCUGUCGUCAGCUCGUGUUGUGAAAUGUUGGGUUAAGUCCCGCAACGAGCGCAACCCUUAUCCUUUGUUGCCAGCGGUCCGGCCGGGAACUCAAAGGAGACUGCCAGUGAUAAACUGGAGGAAGGUGGGGAUGACGUCAAGUCAUCAUGGCCCUUACGAGUAGGGCUACACACGUGCUACAAUGGCGCAUACAAAGAGAAGCGACCUCGCGAGAGCAAGCGGACCUCAUAAAGUGCGUCGUAGUCCGGAUUGGAGUCUGCAACUCGACUCCAUGAAGUCGGAAUCGCUAGUAAUCGUAGAUCAGAAUGCUACGGUGAAUACGUUCCCGGGCCUUGUACACACCGCCCGUCACACCAUGGGAGUGGGUUGCAAAAGAAGUAGGUAGCUUAACCUUCGGGAGGGCGCUUACCACUUUGUGAUUCAUGACUGGGGUGAAGUCGUAACAAGGUAAGCGUAGCGAG